RNAcentral lists this ribosomal RNA (253 nucleotides) under uncultured bacterium. Its description in RNAcentral is "partial 16S ribosomal RNA". It matches the Rfam family "Bacterial small subunit ribosomal RNA", at positions 524 to 776 of the family's 1533-position model. The record is from RNAcentral.
UACGUAGGGGGCAAGCGUUGUCCGGAAUCAUUGGGCGUAAAGAGCGCGUAGGCGGCCCUGUAAGUCCGCUGUGAAAGUCAAGGGCUCAACCCUUGAAUGCCGGUGGAUACUGCAGGGCUAGAGUCCGGAAGAGGCGAGUGGAAUUCCUGGUGUAGCGGUGAAAUGCGCAGAUAUCAGGAGGAACACCAGUGGCGAAGGCGACUUCCUGGCCUGUUCUUGACGCUGAGGCGCGAAAGCUAGGGGAGCAAACGGG